Molecule: ribosomal RNA, 253 nt
Filed under: uncultured bacterium
Lineage: Bacteria
Description: partial 16S ribosomal RNA
Rfam family: Bacterial small subunit ribosomal RNA
Source: RNAcentral
UACGGAGGGUGCAAGCGUUAAUCGGAAUUACUGGGCGUAAAGCGCACGCAGGCGGCUUUUUAAGUUAGAUGUGAAAUCCCCGGGCUCAACCUGGGAACUGCAUCUAAUACUGCCAAGCUUGAGUCUCGUAGAGGGGGGUGGAAUUCCAGGUGUAGCGGUGAAAUGCGUAGAGAUCUGGAGGAAUACCGGUGGCGAAGGCGGCCCCCUGGACGGAGACUGACGCUGAGGUGCGAAAGCGUGGGGAGCAAACAGG